Medicago truncatula (barrel medic) is the source of this 869-nucleotide long non-coding RNA. RefSeq lists it as uncharacterized. Lineage: Eukaryota; Viridiplantae; Streptophyta; Magnoliopsida; Fabales; Fabaceae. The record is from RefSeq and is a predicted model, not a curated record. The transcript has 2 exons.
UUGUUUGAUUCAUAAAUGAAAAUGUUACUCAUAAAAUUCUUUGGUUCAUUUUGUCCUUCAAAAAAGAAAAUAGCCCCUUCAAAAAAAUAUUAUACAAAAAAUAGGUUUAAAAUACUUGAAAAUAGGACAAAUUGAUGGGAUACGACAAAAAUGGAAAUUAGGGCUUGACCCAAAAAAAAAAUGGAAAUUAGGGUUAUCUCAUCGUAUAUUUGAUUUUUCUCAAAUCAAGGUUUUCCAUUGCCAACUCAAGACGACAUCACUUCUGGCACUAUCGUAUUUCACUCUCUCACACUGUGAUUUCUCCUUUCAUAUUGUAAUUCUUCGUCAUCCCUAAUCAUCCUUCAACUGUAUUUUUCAAGUUUUUAUUUUUUGGUCUUUCAGUUUUGACUCCAGUUUUCAAACAAUCAGAACUUACCACACUCAUUCAAUCGCAAGGUACUUGCUCAGGGACUCACCUGAAUGAAUAAUAAUGUCUAAUGAAGACAGGCUGAGUGACUUGCCUGAUUGUGUUCUUCUUCACAUUUUGUCAAUGUUGGAUUCCAAACAUCGAGUUCGAACUGGCAUUUUGUCCAAAAGGUGGAAGCAUCUUUGGAAACAUAUUCCUACUAAAAUUUUCAGUCAAGGAUUUUACUACUGGUUGUCCCAUUCUGAGCAGUAUUUCCAAAAUCUUCGAACUUAACUAUAUGUAGUAUUUUAUCCAACUUUACCAAAAUUGAGCUAUCUGCUCCAAUUCUUUGUACCUUUUCUUUUACCUGUAUACCAUGGUUGCGGUAAGUUACAACUUGAUGAGAUUAGUAUUUCUAGACUUUUGUGAAAUACUCUAGAAUUAGUUAUUAGUUAUAUGAAUGAGUUGCUGCCAUUUUGAUUCA